GCGGCGAGCGAAAAGGAAGGAGCACAAACCUGUCUAACAUUAAGCACAUAUCAGUAUGAAGUUUACUUUGUAUUAUCGUGUGCUUAAUGUUGGACGGGGGUUGUAGGGUAACAACGUCGAAUUAACGAGAAAAGUCAAAAAAUUGUAUUAUAGAUUAAGUUGUUGGAAACCAACACCAUAGACGGUGAUAGUCCGGUCAUCGAAAUAAUAUGAACUUUUUUGUUGUUAUACCUGAGUAGCUCAGGACAUGUAAAGCUUGAGCGAAUCCACCGGGACUAACCGGUAAGGCUAAAUAUAUUGAGAGAUCGAUAGUGAACAAGUACCGUGAGGGAAAGGUGAAAAGAACCCUGAAAAGGGAGUGAAAUAGAUCCUGAAACCAUAUGCUUACAAGGAGUCGGAGCGGAUAAUUUAUUAUUCCGUCACGGCGUGCCUAUUGAAGAAUGAGCCAACGAGUUUAUUUGUGUUGCUGGCUAAGUGGAAACCCCACGGAGCCUCAGGGAAACCAAGUGUUAAUAGCGCGACAAAUUAAGUAGUACAAAUAAGACCCGAAGCCAGGUGAGCUACCCAUGAGCAGGUUGAAGUUUGUCGAAAGACAAAUGGAGGACCGAACCGGUGAGCCGUACGAUACUCUCGGAUGACUUGUGGGUUGGAGUGAAAAGCUAAUCGAACUUGGUAAUAGCUGGUUCUCUCCGAAAUAGCUUUAGGGCUAGCGUACACUGUACCCUCUGGGGGUAGAGCACUGGAAGAUUUCGACAGGGAGCAAUCUCGCGAAAUCUAUCAAACUCCGAAUACCAGAGACCAAUUAGUGUGCAGUUAGACAGUGGGGGCUAAGCUCCACGUGUCAAAAGGGGAACAGCCCAGAUCUCAGGUUAAGGUCCCUAAAUCAUAGUUAAGUGCAUCUUAAGGAGGUAAUAUUUCUCAGACAAUGAGGAGGUUGGCUUAGAAGCAGCCAUCCUUUAAAGAAAGCGUAACAGCUCACUCAUCAAGAGAUUUUGCACCGAAAAUAAUCGGGGCUAAACUAUGUACCGAAACUGAGGAUUCGUGUUGAUUUAUCAACGACGACUGGUAGGCGAGUAUUCGAUUCUGCUGUGAAGGCAAAGGGGUGACCCAUGCUGGAGCGUUGCGAAGUAAGAAUGUUGGCACAAGUAACCGCAAGGAGGGUGAGACCCCCUCCCGCCGAAAGAUCAAGGUUUCCUUGGCAAUGUCAAUCAGCCAAGGGUUAGUCGGGCCUAAGGGGAUGGCGAAAGCCGAACUCGAUGGACACAUGGUUAAUAUUCCAUGACUUUCUAUAUAUGUGAUGAAGGGACGAAGGGUUGUACCAUUCGCUCAUUAUUGGAUUUGAGUUUAUGUUAUGAGGAUGUGUGGUAGGCAAAUCCGCCACGCGUUAGUCCAAGUAAAGUAUAAAUGCCAGGGUUCGCCUUGGUAGAUGAAUGGGAGCACGCUUCCGAGAAAAUCUUCUAAACUUUGUAUAUAGAAAACCGUACCGCAAACCGACACAGGUGAUCAGGUCGAGUAGACCAAGGCGAACGAGUGAGUGAUCUUCAAGGAACUCGGCAAAAAAGCAGCCGUAAGUUAGCAAUAAGGCUUGCCCAUCGCAAGAUGGGCCGCAGCGAAAGUUUCUCUGGCAACUGUUUAUCAAAAACACAGCUCCCUGCGAACACGUAAGUGGAUGUAUAGGGGGUGACGCCUGACCAAUGCCAGAAGGUCAAAUAACGGUGGUGCGAUUAUAUCAAGCUGGCUGUUAUAAGCCCCCGUCAAUGUCGGCCGUAACUAUAACGGUCCUAAGGUAGCGAAAUACCUUGUCGGGUAAG
RNAcentral lists this ribosomal RNA (1811 nucleotides) under wastewater metagenome. RNAcentral describes it as "bacterial LSU rRNA". It matches the Rfam family "Bacterial large subunit ribosomal RNA", at positions 246 to 1980 of the family's 2925-position model. The record is from RNAcentral.